ACGAGACGAAACGGGAUAUUUAACGACUAACGGGUUAAUAUCUUAAAUAUCUAAGGCUACCCCACCAAAACCACCCCCCAAACCACCCAACACCCCUUUAUCUACCUCACUCACGGCUGAAUUCAGCCAACACACUCCAAUCAUCUUUGCUCUCUCACACACACAACACCCAAAACACCUACUUAUCACGCCAAACACCAUUUUUAGCUUGGACGGAGGUUUCAAGCUCCGAUUUGAGCACCGAGACGAGCACCGAUCAUCUUUUCGAUCACGUAUCUAAGUAGGUCCUUUUGGGAAGUAACGACUUGAGGGAGAGAGUGACGUUACUCAUUGAUACAGAGACACAACGAGGUUGAGCUGAUGUGAUGAUGGUGCUGCAAUGAGCGGAGUCUCCAGGGUUGUUAAUAAAUAGUUAACCUGUCUAGAAUAUGUCUUCAUACAUAUGUCUAGCUACUUUCCGCUGCAAGAUGUUGUUGAUGUUAUAGUAUGUUAUGUCAUACUUUGAGUCUUAAGAGAAUGGUUUCAUAUGAUGUAUAACUUGAUUAAUGAUAUUAAUUAAGUUUUAUGUUGUCUUUCA
Molecule: long non-coding RNA, 577 nt
Organism: Salvia miltiorrhiza (redroot sage)
Lineage: Eukaryota; Viridiplantae; Streptophyta; Magnoliopsida; Lamiales; Lamiaceae
Exons: 3
Source: RefSeq, a predicted model, not a curated record